This is a non-coding RNA of Cherax quadricarinatus, 2766 nucleotides long. Lineage: Eukaryota; Metazoa; Arthropoda; Malacostraca; Decapoda; Parastacidae. The record is from RefSeq and is a predicted model, not a curated record.
CUCUGAAGGUUAGUACUACACAAUACCAGUACUCAGUAAGGAAGGCUCAAAAAUCUAAUACAAUAUUCAACCACAAAUGAGCUUGUAAUAAUCCCACUACAUGAUCUGUGGCAAAGGCCAUUUUUCCAUGUACUUCAUGGCCAGAAAGAAAUAUUUUUGAGUCUACAAUUAUUAAACCAAAUAAACUUUUGUUAUUUAAUAGUAGCUGUGGGUUAUUCAAGCCCAGUUCAUUUGUAAUUAACGCUAUCAUGCACACUCUAAAUCCUGAUUCUUAUGUGAAUGUUCUGGAUUGUUAUAGGUGUCAGGGUUCCAAAAAUGGCAAUUAGGGCUGGGGUUGCUCUUCUUGGAGCAGCUAGGUAAGUUUGCCCCUGACUCGUUUUCCUUAACAGUGCCCUGUGGCCUGGUGGCUACAGCUCUCAGUUCACAUAGCGAGGCUCUAGGUUCGAUUCCUAAUGAGGGUAAACACACUGGACUUGUUUCUUUACACCGGUCUCUUGUUCUAUCUAGGCUGGAAUAUUGCUGCACACUAACAGCAUCUUUCAAGGCAGGUGAAAAUGCUGACCUAGAAAAUGUACAGAGAAACUUCACGGCGCGCAUAACGGAGAUAAAACACCUCAUUUACUGGGAACUCUUGAAGUUCCUCAACCUGUACUCCCUACAAUGCAGGCGGGAGAGAUACAUGAUUAUAUACACUUGGAAAAUCUUAGAAGGAUUAGUACCAUACUUGCACACGAAAAUCACUCCCUACGAAAGCAAAAGACUAGGCAGGCGAUGUAACAUCCCCCCAGUGAAAAGCAGGGGUUCCACUAGCGCGAAAAGAGAUAACACAAUAAGUGUCAGCGGCCCAAGACUGUUUAACUGCCUCCCAGCAUACAUAAGGGGGAUUACCAAGCGACCCCUGGCUGUCUUCAAGCAGGUACUGGACAGGGACCUAAAGUCAGUACCUGAUCAGCCGAGCUGUGGUUCGUACAUUGGAUUGCGACCGGCCAAAAGUAACAGCCUGGUUGAUUAGACCCUGAUCCACCGUGAGGCCUGAUCACAGACAGGGCCGCGGGGGCGUUGACCACGGAACUCUCUCAAGGUAUACUCUAGGUAUCAGUAAAAUGGCUACCUGGGAGUUAGUGGACUGGUGUGGGUUGUAUCCUGAGACAAAACUGACAUAAUUUUCCCGAAAUGCUCUGCAUAACAAGUGGCUUUCUAUAUAGUAAUAUGUCAUUGACAUCAGCUAGGACUGUAUACCUUGUACAUGUACUUGUAGUAAAUAAAGAUAUUAUUAUUAUUAUUAUUAGUAGUAGUAGUAGUAGAAGUAGUAGUAAUAUUAGUAUUUUAGUAACACAUCGGCCGAUUCCCACCAAGGCAGGGUGGCCCGAAAAAGAAAAACUUUCAUUAUUCACUUCAUCACUGUCUUGCCAGAAGGGUGCUUUACACUACAGUUACAAAACUGCAACAUUAACACCCCUCCUUCAGAGUGCAGGCACUGUACUUCCCAUCUCCAGGACUCAAGUCCGGCCUGCCGGUUUCCCUGAACCCCUUCAUAAAUGUUACUUUGCUCACACUCCAACAGCACGCCACAUAUUAAAAACCAUUUGCCUCCAUUCACUCCUAUCAAAUACGCUCAUGCAUGCUUGCUGGAAGUCCAAGCCCCUUGCAUACAAAACAUCCUUUAGCCCCUCCCUCCAACCUUUCCUAGGCCGACCCCUACCCCACCUUCCCCCCACUACAGAUUUAUACACUCUCGAAGACAUUCUGUUUCGUUCCAUUCUCUCCACAUGCCCGAACCACCUCAGCAACCCCUCCUCAGCCCUCUGGAUAAUAGUUUGGGUAAUCCCCCACCUCCUCCUAAUUUCCAAACUACGAAUUCUCUGCAUUAUAUUCACACCACACAUUGCCCUCAAACAUGACAUCUCCACUGCCUCCAGCCUUCUCCUCAUUGCAACAUUCACCACCCAUGCUCCCAUUCAUAUUAGAGUGUUGGUAUAACUAUGCCCUCAUACAUUCCUCUCUUUGCUUCCACAGACAAAGUUCUUUGUCUCCAUAGACUCCUAAGUGCACCAUUCACCCUUUUCCCCUCAUCAAUUCUAUGAUUCACCUCAUCCUUCAUAGACUUAUCUGCUGACACAUCCACUCCUAAAUAUCUGAAUACACUCACUUCCUCCAUACUCUCACCCUCCAAUCUGAUAUCCAACCUUUUAUCACCUAAUCUUUUUGUUACCCUCAUCACCUUAUUCUUUCCUAUAGUCACUUUUAAUUUUCUUAUUUUUACAUACCCUUCCAAAUUCAUCCACCAACCUCUGCAACUUCUCUUCAGAAUCUCCCAAGAGCACAGUGUCAUCAGCAAAGAGCAACUGUGACAACUCCCACUUUGUGUUAUAAUGUUUGUCUUUUAACCCCGCACCUCUUGCCAACACCCGAGCAUUCACUUCUCUUACAACCCCAUCUAUAAAUAUAUUGAACAACUAUGGUGACAUCAAAUAUCCUUGUCUAAGGCCUACUUUUACUAGGAAAUAAUCUCCCUCUCUCCUACAUACUGUAACCUGAGCCUAACUAUCCUUGUAAAAACUCUUCACUGCUUUCAGUAACCUACCUCCUACACCAUACACCUGCAACAUCUGCCACAUUGCCCCCCUAUCCACCCUGUCAUAAGCCUUUUCCAAAUCCAUAAAUGCCACAAAAACCUCUUUAGCCUUAUCUAAAUACUGUUCACUUAUAUGUUUCACUGUAAACACCUGGUCCACACACCCCCUACCUUUCCUAAAGCCUCCUUGU